AUGUUUUUGUUAUUGGUGGUGUAAAGCUUGUAAGCAAUAUAUAGGAACAUCACAAGAAAGCUAGACACGUUUUGGGGGACAAAUACAUUCGAAAUAUAGUUCACAGAAUUUGCUAAAGAUAAAACUGCUUCACAAUUUUUUUUUAUGUUUUACCACCAUAUCUGUUAAAUGGUUUGGUAGUGUGGGUGGGUAAAUAGAAUAUGUUUAUCGGGGGAAGGAGUAGUAGAUACUGAAUUACGAAUUUCUUUUUUUCCAGUCAUGCUUGCAGCUUUGUGAGUCUGUCUCACAGAGAAACAGCAGAUGGAUUUAGCGUAUGAUCUGUGGCUUGAAAGAAACCAGAGUUGCUGCUACUCUGCUCUACAAGCCACAUUACCAGGGCAACAUGGCAUUUACAGGCAAAUACGAGUUUGAAGGCGAUGAGAACUAUGAUGACUUUGUGACGAAGAUUGGUCUCCCCAGUGACAAAAUUGAAAUGGGAAGGAAUUGCAAAAUAGUCACUGAGGUGGUGCAAAAUGGAAAUGACUUCACCUGGACACAGCAUUUCCCAGGAGGCCGUACCACGACCAACGUAUUCACAGUUGGCAAGGAAGCAGACAUGGAGACAAUGGGUGGUAAAAAGUUCAAGGCAACUGUAAAAAUGGAAGAUGGGAAAUUAGUAGCUGAUUUUCCCAACUAUCGCCAUACUUCAGAGAUUUCUGGAGGAAAGCUUGUGGAGAGGCUGCUCUUGGACUUAACCUGCCCCAACUCCACCCACGAUACAACAGCACAUAUGGAACAUGGAAGUCAAUGCACAAUUCCUGCUUAGAAUGUAGUCACCAGAAGAAAGACUGAAUGUAUAGCUGUAUUCUCCUAUUCAGUCUGUCAAUCUCCUCAGGUGAUGUCAGCCUGGUACAGAAAUUUAAUGAGUAUGCUAGUGGAAGUAGGAGAAAUCACUGCAUGCCCAGAAAACUACAGACAGGAUCUGUCAUUCUGGCUCCUUUUUCUACCAGAGCACUUGGACUUCAGCUGGGAUCUGUUCUGUGCCACAGGUCAAACAUGCAGCAUCUUCUGACUCCUGCAACAGUUCCAGUUCUCCUUGCUGCCCUCCUCCCUCUCCCAGCACCAGCAGUUCCAGCUGCAGGGUACCAGGGUACCAGCUGCUGCACAGCCAAUCUCCAGAGAACUGCAUCCUCCGUGGACAGCCAAAGCCAAUCCAGACUGCAGCACUGUGCCUUCCCGUAACAAAAUCACACAUAGGAAACUUGCUGGUGAGUGCUUCCAUGCUUAGCCGAGUGCAGUUUAACUAAUUGAUCAAAAAGAGUUAGUGUGUUUGUGAACAGUCUGAUAGUAGAGUACAGCUGACGCAUUUAGCUUUUCCUCAAGAUCUGAACUUAGCAUAGACACUUAUGCUUCAGGAGUACUACUGAGAUGUCACACAAAAACCCUGGGGCAAACCAACACACUAUUUCAACUGUACCUGAAAACUUCUUGGGCUUGAAUCCAUUUCACCCUUCAGCACCCUUGCAACAGCCCCAGGCAAUUGAAAUUUGCAGGAAAGUUGAACUAGUAUUGUGCUUGAAAAUCAAUUACUUCACAUGGUCCACUGUGGAUUCUUAUCAAGCAUUUCAUUAAGUCCUUCUUACACACUUCAAAGUACUCACAAGCAGCUAAUCUGAGAAGGGUCAGAGACAGGAGUGUGAAAAUUGAAAUUCCAACUUUAAGGAAAAAGAAGAGAGAUCAUGAAUAACCAUGUACUUUAUUAGGACACCUGUUCCUUUCAGCUUCAUGCACAUGCUGCCAUCUAUAACAUAAGUAAAUUACAGCAAGCAACCAGUAAUGCUAUUGUUGCUGAUUUUCAGAAGCUAGGGGGUUUUGUGUGUGUUUUCCCUUAAGUGAACAGAUUAUGCUUUUGUUGCAGUCUUGGAUAAAAAAAAAAAAUCCUGCUAUUAAUACACCUCAAUGCCUUUUACACCUACUUUCUUUUACAGCUGAUAAAACUGGAAAGGUGCAUCAGAAUGCAAGGUUAAUGUUUUAUCCUAUUAAAUGAAAUAGAAAAGAGCACAAAACCUUUGCAUGUCCACAGGUUCUCAUCCAGAUCUUGUUUUAAAAAGAAGACCCAGAAGCAACACCUACACGACACCCUAAUACCUUCCCUCUGCUCAGAAUGUCACUGGCUAGUCUGCACCACUCUGCAGUUCAGGCUGUGUCAGAGAGAUCUGACUAUGUCAAAUUUACCAUUUAAUUAAGCAUUGAAAGGGUGACCAUUUUUUAAAUUAACAAGGACAAGAGUGGACUUCAGAGGCUAAAAGAUAACACAGUACUUUGUUACAUCAAGACCUUCACGCUAUCUGCAAGUUAAGUAAACCAGAUGCUUUGGCCCAACUACAUGAAGUACAGGGACAUACACUGGAUGCAGUGAGAAGGGGGAAGAGGUGGUGUUUUUACUGAACAAAGUUAAUAAUAAGAUCCUGUACUAACAG
Pezoporus flaviventris is the source of this 2459-nucleotide RNA transcript. It is a transcript of the gene named fatty acid binding protein 6, with no coding region annotated. The record is from RefSeq and is a predicted model, not a curated record. The transcript is spliced from 8 exons. NCBI's taxonomy places the organism in Eukaryota, Metazoa, Chordata, Aves, Psittaciformes, Psittacidae.